UACAACUUUCAGCAACGGAUCUCUUGGCUCUCGCAUCGAUGAAGAACGCAGCGAAAUGCGAUAAGUAAUGUGAAUUGCAGAAUUCAGUGAAUCAUCGAAUCUUUGAACGCAUCYUGCGCUCCUUGGUAUUCUGAGGAGCAUGCCUGUUUGAGUGUCAUU
RNAcentral lists this ribosomal RNA (159 nucleotides) under uncultured Inocybe. RNAcentral describes it as "5.8S ribosomal RNA". It matches the Rfam family "5.8S ribosomal RNA". Rfam says of the family: 5.8S ribosomal RNA (5.8S rRNA) is a component of the large subunit of the eukaryotic ribosome. The record is from RNAcentral. Lineage: Eukaryota; Fungi; Basidiomycota; Agaricomycetes; Agaricales; Cortinariaceae.